GACGAACGCUGGCGGCGUGCCUAACACAUGCAAGUCGAACGGAAAGGCCCUGCUUUUGUGGGGUGCUCGAGUGGCGAACGGGUGAGUAACACGUGAGUAACCUGCCCUUGACUUUGGGAUAACUUCAGGAAACUGGGGCUAAUACCGGAUAGGAGCUCCUGCUGCAUGGUGGGGGUUGGAAAGUUUCGGCGGUCGGGGAUGGACUCGCGGGUUAUCAGCUUGUUGGUGGGGUAGUGGCUUACCAAGGCUUUGACGGAUAGCCGGCCUGGGAGGGUGACCGGGCACAAUAGGACUGAGAUACGGAGCAGUGUCCUACGGGAGGCAGCAGUGGGGAAUAUUGCACAGUGGGCGGGAGCCUGAUGCGGCAACGCCGCGUUCGGGAUGACGGCCUUCGGGUUGUAAACCGCUUUCGCCUGUGACGAAGCGUGAGUGACGGUAAUGGGUAAAGAAGCACCGGCUAACUACGUG
RNAcentral lists this ribosomal RNA (468 nucleotides) under uncultured bacterium. RNAcentral's name for it is "partial 16S ribosomal RNA". It matches the Rfam family "Bacterial small subunit ribosomal RNA", at positions 28 to 507 of the family's 1533-position model. The record is from RNAcentral.